UACGUAGGGUGCGAGCGUUAAUCGGAAUUACUGGGCGUAAAGCGUGCGCAGGCGGUUCGCUGUUUCCGAUGUGAAAGCCCCGGGCUCAACCUGGGAAUGGCAUGGGAAACUGGCGGGCUGGAGUGUGGCAGAGGGGGGUGGAAUUCCGCGUGUAGCAGUGAAAUGCGUAGAGAUGCGGAGGAACACCGAUGGCGAAGGCAGCACCCUGGGCCAACACUGACGCUCAGGCACGAAAGCGUGGGGAGCAAACAGG
Molecule: ribosomal RNA, 253 nt
Filed under: uncultured bacterium
Lineage: Bacteria
Description: partial 16S ribosomal RNA
Rfam family: Bacterial small subunit ribosomal RNA
Source: RNAcentral